RNAcentral lists this ribosomal RNA (433 nucleotides) under uncultured bacterium. RNAcentral's name for it is "partial 16S ribosomal RNA". It matches the Rfam family "Bacterial small subunit ribosomal RNA", at positions 29 to 507 of the family's 1533-position model. The record is from RNAcentral.
AACGAACGCUGGCGGCAUGCCUAACACAUGCAAGUCGAACGAGACCUUCGGGUCUAGUGGCGCACGGGUGCGUAACGCGUGGGAACCUGCCCUUAGGUUCGGAAUAACUCCCCGAAAGGGGUGCUAAUACCGGAUAAUGUCUUCGGACCAAAGAUUUAUCGCCUUUGGAUGGGCCCGCGUUGGAUUAGCUAGUUGGUAGGGUAAAAGCCUACCAAGGCGACGAUCCAUAGCUGGUCUGAGAGGAUGAUCAGCCACACUGGGACUGAGACACGGCCCAGAAUCCUACGGGAGGCAGCAGUGGGGAAUAUUGGACAAUGGGCGAAAGCCUGAUCAAGCAAUGCCGCGUGAGUGAUGAAGGCCUUAGGGUUGUAAAGCUCUUUUACCCGGGAUGAUAAUGACAGUACCGGGAGAAUAAGCUCCGGCUAACUCCGUG